AAUCUCUGGCCAUACCGGCUUGAAUGUAUUAAGUGCCAUCUGAUCAGGGAAGCUAAGCAGGGUUGGGCUGGGUUAGUAUGUAGAUGGGAAAAUUUAGAGGAGGCAUUUGGGAGCCGACAUUC
This 122-nucleotide ribosomal RNA is filed under the name Microtus ochrogaster (prairie vole). The record is from RNAcentral. Lineage: Eukaryota; Metazoa; Chordata; Mammalia; Rodentia; Cricetidae.